GACGAACGCUGGCGGCGUGCUUAACACAUGCAAGUCGAACGGAAAGGCCUGCUUUCCCUUGUGGAUUGCGGGUACUCGAGUGGCGAACGGGUGAGUAACACGUGAGUGAUCUGCCCCCAACUUGGGUAUAAGCCUGGGAAACUGGGUCUAAUUCCCGAUAGGACUGCAGGGUGGUGCCUGUGGUGGAAAACGAUUUUCUAGUGGUUGGGGAUGAGCUCGCGGCCUAUCAGCUUGUUGGUGGGGUAAUGGCCUACCAAGGCGGCGACGGGUAGCCGGCCUGGGAGGGUGGGCGGGCACAUUGGGACUGGGAUACGGGCCAGGCUCCUACGGGAGGCAGGAGUGGGGAAUAUUGCACAAAGGGCGGGAGCCUGAUGCAGCGACGGCGCGUGGGGGAUGACGGCCUUCGGGUUGUAAACUCCUUUCGACCGCGAGGAAGCCACCUGGUUGGAAGGGUGGUGACGGUAGUGGUAGAAGAAGCACCGGCUAACUACGUG
RNAcentral lists this ribosomal RNA (494 nucleotides) under uncultured bacterium. RNAcentral's name for it is "partial 16S ribosomal RNA". It matches the Rfam family "Bacterial small subunit ribosomal RNA", at positions 28 to 507 of the family's 1533-position model. The record is from RNAcentral.